GGGGACGUAACUAAGCGACCCAGGAAUGCUUGGGCGUGCCUCCACCCACGCCGGCGUCGGCGGGCGUAUUUCGCCUCACAGUAGGUCGCCGCGACCCGUUGCUUUUGGGGACGUCGAAGGCCCGGACGGAUUGGUACCCUACCGGCUGGGGAUGCGGCUUCGGCUUCUCCUCUUGUCCGGUGGGCGAAACCGCCGGUGUCCUGGCUGCCCUGCGACGGUCGUAGAGACGAGCCCUCCCCAUUCGUGGGGGGCGGCUCUCGCGGCGUGCAAAAGGUCGGUGAUCCACCCGACCCGUCUUGAAACACGGACCAAGGAGUCUAACAUGUGUGCGAGUCAGUGGGCGCACUAAACCCAGAGGCGUAAUGAAAGUGACACGGGUUCGGCUGUCGCCUCGUGUGGCAGCCGGACUCAGGGCCGAUCCCUCACCGGUUGCCCUCGCCUCUCUCCCGCGUCUCGGUACGCCGGGUGAGCUAUUUUCCCCGGCCAAUGCUGCGGCUCGGGGGGAGGCGGGGUGCGAUGGUGUCCGUAAAAAAGAGCCUGCUGUUGCAGGGGGGCGCAGGCCCGGGACUUGCCAGGACGCCGCGAGACUGUCACUUUGCUGUGAGGCUCCAGGGCCGAUCAGCGGGUCAUGCGUGCAGUCGGCAAGUACCAUGAGCAGACAUGUUGGGACCCGAAAGAUGGUGAACUAUGCCUGGCCAGGAUGAAGCCAGAGGAAACUCUGGUGGAGGUCCGUAGCGAUUCUGACGUGCAAAUCGAUCGUCGGAGCUGGGUAUAGGGGCGA
RNAcentral lists this ribosomal RNA (781 nucleotides) under Lacunicambarus acanthura. Its description in RNAcentral is "eukaryotic LSU rRNA". The stretch from base 308 to 781 matches the Rfam family "Eukaryotic large subunit ribosomal RNA", at positions 665 to 926 of the family's 3401-position model. The record is from RNAcentral. Lineage: Eukaryota; Metazoa; Arthropoda; Malacostraca; Decapoda; Cambaridae.